AUAAUGAAACCAGUCGAAUGAACCAGUCGGUGACACGUCCAUGUUGUUUGUUGUGAUAAAUCGUAACUAGAUUAUUUUGUAGUUUAUCUUAAAUUAAUGCCUUGUCACUCAAAAUGAUGCGAAGAAAUGGAAGCAUGCCCAAAGUAGUAGUUUGUGUUAUUGCCUUUUUUGGUCUGGUUUAUUUUAUAUACUUGUACAACGAUCUGUCGGGACAGUUGAAAAACACAGAACGUUCUGCAGAAAGAUACAGAAGAGAACAGGAGUCAGUAUCAGCACAACUACAAGAUCAGAUUAUUGCCAAAGAUGAGCUCAAGCAGCGCUGUGAUAAUGAUAAAGAACAGAUGACAAAUCGAUUAAACUCUCAGCAACAGCAAUAUAAAAUGCUCAAGAGUCAGCAUGAGGAUAUGGAGACUGAGUUUGGACGUUUAAAGAACGAGAAGGAGAAAGAGAACGAGGAACAUAAUAAACAAGACGAGGAGCGAGCCAUAGAAUAUAACCAAUAUAAACAGGAAAAAUCCCUCGAGAUUGCUAGUCUUAAAGAUUCUGUGGCCAAUUUGGAACGGGAGAAAGAGCAGUUAAGUCAGCAAGUUGUAGAGCUCAAGACACAGUUACAGGGCACCCUGAAUCAAGUGAAUCAGGCCAAACAAAGUAUAGGUAUAUUGCAGAAUCAGGUUCAAACACAACAGAAUGAAGCUAACAAAGCAAAAGAGACAAUUGUUACACUACAGAAUGAGGUUAAAACUCAGCAGGGAUCCAAAACCGAGAGCCAACUUCAGACAGAUCGACUUACUAUUCAGAGAAAUCAGGGUCUCCUUAACUAUGCCCAGAAUCUUGUUCAGCAAGCUCAAGCAAAACAACAACAGAUUGAGCAACAAUACCAACAGUUACAACAACAACAGCAGCAGCAACAACAACAACAACAACAGAAUAUUGGGGGCCAACAAGGGGCAAACUUACAGGGAGUUGGGCAGCAACAACAGGGAAUGAAUUUACAAGGUGGAAAUAUGCAAGCUGGAGGUGCUGGGUUCAAUCAGAAUAAUCAACAGCAGCAACCACAGGGUGUGUUCAUGGGACAAGGUUUGAACCAUGGUCAAGGAGGUGUACAUGGAAUCCAGCAAAAUAUUUUACCAAACAAUAACAACAAUAAUGUACUAGGCAACCUUAUACAUGGGGGAGCAGGUGGACUUAAUCCUAAUAUAAUAGGUCAGCAGGCUGGAAAUGCUGCCAAAAUGGGAGAUAACCCUGAGAAUUUUAAUAUAGCCGAUGAUAUAAUGAAAAGUUUACAAGACAAACAUAAACCUGUGGAUGCUGAUUUACUGGAACAGCAGCAGAAACAACAUCAGAUUAUCCCCCCUGGAGGCGGAGCUGGUGAUCAUGAUAAUUCUAAUAUGCGUCAUGGUGACAUGGAUCAAGGUGAUCUAGGUCAUCAGAAGCAUGGACAGUCUAUGCUGGGACAGGAUGGUCAUGGUAUUCAGCAAGAACAGCAUCAGAUAGGAAGACCUAACUUAGAUCAUGAGCCUAUAGAUAAUCACCUGGGCAGCAAGGAUAUUGAUACUAAAGUUCAUGGGGGUGAUGGUAACCAUGACAAUAGAAUAGAAAACCAGGGGCCAGUUAAUUUACAGGUACAGGAACCAAACUUACAUGGUGAUUCAGAUAAAAACAAGUUAUUAAAGGAUGAUGAGUUACGUUUCCGGCCUCAUAUACCUAUACCUGACAAUCAGAUACAACCAGUCGUCCCUGUAGAUGACAGUCAUAGACAAGAACAGCUGGACAUUCCAAUAGGAAAAGGCAACAAUCAGGAAGAUAACAGGAACGAGGGUAGACUAGGUGCUGGAGGAAUGGCUGACGAGGAUAAUGAUGAUGGAUUUUAUAGGAAUUAAUAACAAUCAGGACUAAUUAUAUGAGUAUGAUGAUGAUUAUGAUAAAGAGAAUGACAAAGAUGAAUAUUAAAGGUGAAGGUUAUUGAAUGUGAAAAAGCACAUUUGCCAGUUCUCAAUGCAGGGAGGGUGUGAGUUGAGGACACAGUCUGUGAUAUUGUAGAAAUACAACUUGAGAACCAUUCCGCACAUCAUAGCAACAAAGUCAUGUGAUUUCCUUCCAUAGCAACCAGAUCUUCAUAAAUAUACCAUUUGAGUUUGGAGCCAAGACUUUGUGAUAUUGUGUAUCCUAGCAACCUAGUCAUGUGAUCAUGUGUGGUGAUUGGAGAAACAAGUUGUAAAAAAUAUAUACAAUGAAUUUCAUUCUUUAAAAGGAAAAGUGAUAAAAAAACCCAUGUUGUUAGGUACACUAGUGUUCAGGUUAUGGUUAUCUCCCCUUUUAGAGUUGUUAAAUUGAUUCUUGAUGAAAUAUUGUACAUAUAUGUAUUAUCAUUAUCUAUAUGUUACAUAUUUACAACUUAUAUUUUGCCUUUACUGAGAAAACUGAAACAAAGUUUAAUGGUUUAUUUCAUAUAUUUAACCCCCAAUUACGGAUAAUAAUUUUUGACAGACUAGUUAAAUUUUCAAGAAUUAUGCCCAUUAUAAUGACCAUUUCAGUUUUCUUACUUUGAAACAUAUUAUUAUUUAUUUAUUAUUGAUACUUUUCUGCAAUGUGCUACUCAGUACAAUCAUGUAGUUUCAUCAUAUACCUUUACUCAACAAUGUUAGAAAGGGCCACAACUCCUACAAACAUUUUGUUAGAAAUUUUGUAUUUAUACCAUUAUUUUGAUUCUUGGUCAAGAUAUGUAUAUUGUUUGACAGUUUCAAUACUUUAGUAAAAAAAUCUCCCAAAUUGUGAUCAGCAAUUGUCAAUGUUGUUCAUAAUCUUUAAUGAGUAGAUAUUCUAGGCGAGAAUUUUUUUUCGCCAGUUGUUGUAUGUUUUGAGAAAGUUUUUGUUAGACAUUUUAUGUUUAAUUUGUUGAUACAUGACCUUUGUUAAUGAAUUACAUCUAAUGAAUGUGCCUUUAACAUUUUUAUAUAGACUUAAAUAGGUCCAAAUUUUACCUUAUAAUCAGUAUUGAAAAGUAAAUGUGAGAAUGCUUUAAAUGAAUACUGCUAGAAUUUUUGUAAUAAACUUUUGAACAGAAAAUUUGAAAAGGAUUUAAAUUUAUAUUAUGCAAUAGUAUGGAAAAAUGAAUGUCUUGAUGUUGAUUAAAUAAGAAAUACAUAAUUAUACUACUUAAUAUAAUUUUUUUUUAUUUAGCUUUUUUUGUUUGUGAAAUACAUGUAAUAGAUCGCACAAAGCAAUUUAUUUAGUACAUUAUGCUAGAUAAAGCUUUAAACCAUGUUAUGUCUAUAAAAACCACCUAUUAUUUUAGUACAGUAUUGAUAUGCUAUGUUUAGUUUGUAUAUAAAGCUAUAUAGUUAAAGUAUUUACACACUGUAAUGGGCCUUUAUAUAAUACACAUGCUAGAUGAGCAGAACAUUUUAAGUGAUAUUUAUCAAAUAUUUAUAUAUACAAAUGUAUAUUACUUAUAAACUUAUAUACAUAUUAUACAUAUUAUUAUAUAAUGAAACAUUCUGCAAAAAGAUAACAACAAAAAAAAAGAGAAAAAAGGCUGAAAAAGAAGAAUUUUGUAUUGAUAAAUUUAACAUGUCUUACUCUAUCACAUCACUAUGUUGAGGAUUGAUCGUGGAUGGGAAUGUUUUAGAUUAAAGCCACAUUACAUUGUUGUAUAAGGUAUAUAAACUAUGCAACCACCAUUGAUGGUGAUUUCUUAUUGAAAUAUGUCUACCAGUUUCAGUAUGAUAGGACAUUAGGACACUGGUCCAUCUGCCUGAGGAAAAUUGCCUUGUUUAUCAACUGACUUCUAACAAUGCCGUUAUCCAUUUACCUGUACAGUUUGACUUUUACUUUUCAUGGGACAAAUAAAGUAGUAUAGUUAAUAGGAAAAGUUGCUAUUAGAUAAGCAUUGCAAUGUCUCUUCGAGAUUUUAAAUUAUCACCAUGGAAAUUAUGAAUGAUAUAAAAUGAAAAUUUGUACUGGCACU
Molecule: RNA transcript, 3967 nt
Organism: Ruditapes philippinarum (Manila clam)
Lineage: Eukaryota; Metazoa; Mollusca; Bivalvia; Venerida; Veneridae
Exons: 19
Source: RefSeq, a predicted model, not a curated record